Molecule: ribosomal RNA, 506 nt
Filed under: uncultured bacterium
Lineage: Bacteria
Description: bacterial SSU rRNA
Rfam family: Bacterial small subunit ribosomal RNA
Source: RNAcentral
AGCGAACGCUGGCGGCAGGCCUAACACAUGCAAGUCGAACGAACUCUUCGGAGUUAGUGGCGGACGGGUGAGUAACACGUGGGAACGUGCCUUUAGGUUCGGAAUAACUCAGGGAAACUUGAGCUAAUACCGAAUGUGCCCUUCGGGGGAAAGAUUUAUCGCCUUUAGAGCGGCCCGCGUCUGAUUAGCUUGUUGGUGGGGUAAUGGCUCACCAAGGCUACGAUCAGUAGCUGGUCUGAGAGGAUGACCAGCCACAUUGGGACUGAGACACGGCCCAAACUCCUACGGGAGGCAGCAGUGGGGAAUCUUGCGCAAUGGGCGAAAGCCUGACGCAGCCAUGCCGCGUGUAUGAUGAAGGUCUUAGGAUUGUAAAAUACUUUCACCGGUGAAGAUAAUGACUGUAGCCGGAGAAGAAGCCCCGGCUAACUUCGUGCCAGCAGCCGCGGUAAUACGAAGGGGGCUAGCGUUGCUCGGAAUUACUGGGCGUAAAGGGAGCGUAGGCGGAC